UCCAGCCUGGAUGACAGAGCAAGACUCCAUCUCAAUAAAUAGGCUCAGCAAACUCCCGAGUUCCUGUGCUGCUGAAGAAGGCAUUGAGCAGAAUACAGAAAGACUGGGUAUAGCUUGGGUUUGAGAUGAAACACCAGCAAUGGAAGAUUCGCUCUGUUGUCUAUCAGCUUGCAUACUUUGAUGAAACAAGCUUCCAUGUUGAAGAGGACCAAGUGGAAGUGAAUUGAGG
Molecule: long non-coding RNA, 229 nt
Organism: Homo sapiens (human)
Lineage: Eukaryota; Metazoa; Chordata; Mammalia; Primates; Hominidae
Gene: MCUB-AS1
Product: MCUB antisense RNA 1
Exons: 3
Source: RefSeq, a predicted model, not a curated record